CCUACGGGUGGCUGCAGUGGGGAAUAUUGGACAAUGGGGGGAACCCUGAUCCAGCGACGCCGCGUGAGUGAAGAAGUAUUUCGGUAUGUAAAGCUCUAUCAGCAGGGAAGAAAGAAAUGACGGUACCUGACUAAGAAGCCCCGGCUAACUACGUGCCAGCAGCCGCGGUAAUACGUAGGGGGCAAGCGUUAUCCGGAUUUACGGGGUGUAAAGGGAGCGUAGACGGCGAUGCAAGUCUGAAGUGAAAGGCGGGGGCCCAACCCCCGGACUGCUUUGGAAACUGUAUGGCUGGAGUGUGUGAGAGGCUAGUGGAAUUCCAGGUGUAGGCGUGAAAUCCGUAGAUAUCUGGAGGAACAUCAGUGGCGAAGGCGACUCUCUGGCACAUACCUGACGCUGAGGAGCGAAAGCGUGGGUAGCAAACAGGAUUAGAUACCCCAGUAGUC
RNAcentral lists this ribosomal RNA (443 nucleotides) under uncultured bacterium. RNAcentral describes it as "partial 16S ribosomal RNA". It matches the Rfam family "Bacterial small subunit ribosomal RNA", at positions 338 to 795 of the family's 1533-position model. The record is from RNAcentral.